AUACAUACCUGGACGGGGUCAAUGGGCGAUCAAUAAGGCCCAUGGCCUAGGCUGGUGGCCCCCAUUGCACGCUCCGGAGGUGCACCCGCCUAACAUCUCCCAUUAGUGGAGACUGUACGUCGUAAUUUGUGGCAGUGGGGGCCUGUGUUCGCGCGGCCCCUAU
Small nuclear RNA from Tripterygium wilfordii, 163 nucleotides. RefSeq annotates it as U1 spliceosomal RNA. The record is from RefSeq and is a predicted model, not a curated record. Lineage: Eukaryota; Viridiplantae; Streptophyta; Magnoliopsida; Celastrales; Celastraceae. The transcript has a single exon.